AAUGCAAAUUAUCUCCUUUCCAUCAGACUAAGUCAUGUUUUUGUUACUUUAAACCCACCUGCUGUCGAUUUUUUUCCCCACCUGAUAAUGCACCAAUAAGAUUAUCCUCCGUUCAGUGAGCUCACAUUUACAACAUUUUUCCCGCAAGGAAUUAAAUAAAAACCAAAAUGACUGAAAUGUUCGGUUUCCGGUAGUAGCCAUCUGCGAGUCAACGGUUGGCUAGCUGACUGUACGCUACUUUCCCAGCCGCGAGGUGGCCAUAAAGAAGAUCUCGGCAUUGAUCCUGUAACCGUGUUUCUGCUGUAUGUGGGUCCGGAGCAGGCUGGGCGUUUUGAAGGAGGCCAGACAGCUGCCUUUUACUGCCCCAGGGGGUAAUAAACAGUGAGGGAGGGGUAGUUAUUUACCCCUUUUAUUAGGGCAGGAGGCAGAGGAGGGGACUUUAUUGGGGUCACACUGUAACUACACACAGCUGCAGGGCAAGA
Long non-coding RNA from Sander lucioperca (pikeperch), 482 nucleotides. RefSeq lists it as uncharacterized. The record is from RefSeq and is a predicted model, not a curated record. The transcript has 3 exons. NCBI's taxonomy places the organism in Eukaryota, Metazoa, Chordata, Actinopteri, Perciformes, Percidae.